This 468-nucleotide ribosomal RNA is filed under the name uncultured bacterium. RNAcentral describes it as "partial 16S ribosomal RNA". It matches the Rfam family "Bacterial small subunit ribosomal RNA", at positions 28 to 507 of the family's 1533-position model. The record is from RNAcentral.
GACGAACGCUGGCGGCGUGCUUAACACAUGCAAGUCGAACGGUGAACUCCCGCUUGCGGGUGUUGUAAGUGGCGCACGGGUGUGUGAUACGUGAGAACAAUGCGCUUCACACUGGGAUAUGAGCGGGAGAAAGGGCGUCUUACACGAUACUCCUUCCUGCCGCGCGGCGUGGGCUGCAGAGGAUUAUUUUGGUCCGGGAUGGGCUCACGGCCUAUCAGCUUGUUGGUGGGGUAAUGGCUCACCAAGGCGACGACGGGUAGCCGGCCUGAGAGGGUGACCGGCCACCCGGGGACUGAGCACCGGCCCGGCCUCCUCCGGGAGGCGGCAGUGGGGAAUAUUGCACAAUGGGCGAAAGCCUGAUGCAGCAACGCCGCGGGAGGGACGACGGCCUUCGGGUUGUAAACCUCUUUUAGCAGGGAAGAAGCGAAAGUGACGGUACCUGCAGAAAAAGCGCCGGCUAACUACGUG